Molecule: ribosomal RNA, 307 nt
Filed under: uncultured eukaryote
Lineage: Eukaryota
Description: partial 18S ribosomal RNA
Rfam family: Eukaryotic small subunit ribosomal RNA
Source: RNAcentral
CCCUUAGACGUUCUGGGCCGCACGCGCGCUACACUGACACAGGCAACGAGCUUUCCUUUACCGAAAGGUAUGGGUAAUCUUUUGAAACUGUGUCGUGCUGGGGAUAGAUCCUUGCAAUUUUUGAUCUUAAACGAGGAAUUCCUAGUAAGCGCGAGUCAUCAACUCGCGUUGAUUACGUCCCUGCCCUUUGUACACACCGCCCGUCGCUACUACCGAUUGAAUGGCUUAGUGAGGCCUCAGGAUCCGCGCUUAAUGUGUGGAGAAUUUGGACAAACUACGUCAUUUAGAGGAAAUAAAAGUCGUAACA